GGGCCUUUGUUUAGGCUAAUGCCGAAGUGCCCACAAGUCGACUUUCUAUAAAGAAGAGGGUGGGAUUUCAUUGUACUUAAACCAUUCUAAACUCUGCAUCACCGUAGUCUCUAGUGCCAUCCUGGGUUUGAAAAACAGACUUUGAGACUGCUUUAAUCAGUUUAUAUCCUAUCAAUUCGCCCCUUAUUUUAUUACUACAGAUAUUGCAGGAGAUUUUGCUACAUUAAUACAGAGACAGUUCAGUGGCUGAAUACAAUCACAGAAGAGACUGCUCCCUUUCAGUUCAUCCGCUUCAAGUCUUUUUGAAUUCUUUACGCUGUUGAUAAUGAGAUGGGGUCAAGCAGAUUAUUCACUUCCUGUUCUGUCGCUGCUUUGUGUUACUAAGAGAGGAAGUUAAAACCGAAAAAAGAAGACACAGAAUAAACAAACCCAGAGCCCACAAAGUUCAACAUUUAGAUGUCGUGUUUUUUCUUUAACUUUCCUCUGAUCAACCACAAGAAGGAUUCCUUAGACAGUUGAACUUUUUCCCAACCAAGCCUUGAAAUAUCUUAUAGGCUUUUUUUAUGCGGUAUUUCAAAUUUGUAAGGCAACAAGAAAAGAUUCCUUUAACAUAGUUUCAUUUUCCGCACAAUGCUCCGAAAGCCAUUGUGUUAUCUAAAUCAUUGUAUUCCUGAGCUACUAAUAACUAGUGUUGCAGAGAUUUCAACUGCACCCUAUAUCAGGUUGUUUUCUCAUGGGUUAUGUAUUGUAAAAUCAACUGGAUUUACCAUGUAUAUAAAUGUCCCUAUAAAAAGGCCAAUUUCAACUAUUAAUCUCCCAUCUACCCUUUUGUUAUUUUAAACCCUCUGCAACGCAGUACGGAGGAGAACUCCUUGCCUCCUGUAACCCCCGGUCAGAUAGAUUACACAGUUCAUACUACUCUUAUUGCAAUAUCACAUUCAGAAUGCCUUUGUACUCAGAUGGACAAUAUGUCAUUUUGGAUUUACUAUCAAGAAGAAUGGAUGAAAUUAAUUUAAAGAUCACGGUUCUUUGUUUAUGGAAAACUAGGAGGUGCACCGAAAUAUAAAUUUUUGUGUCGAAACUGAAAAUUCAUGAUGCAUUUGGCCGAAACUGAAAAUCAGUCUUUAAAAAAAUAUAUAUAAAAUUGUAUUAUAUUCGACUAUUUAAUAUCAUGAAUUUAAAUUAA
This is a long non-coding RNA of Rana temporaria (common frog), 1186 nucleotides long. RefSeq lists it as uncharacterized. Lineage: Eukaryota; Metazoa; Chordata; Amphibia; Anura; Ranidae. The transcript has 2 exons. The record is from RefSeq and is a predicted model, not a curated record.